This 460-nucleotide ribosomal RNA is filed under the name uncultured bacterium. RNAcentral describes it as "partial 16S ribosomal RNA". It matches the Rfam family "Bacterial small subunit ribosomal RNA", at positions 338 to 795 of the family's 1533-position model. The record is from RNAcentral.
CCUACGGGGGGCAGCAGUGAGGAAUAUUGGUCAAUGGGCGGAAGCCUGAACCAGCCAAGUAGCGUGCAGGAUGAAGGCCCUACGGGUGGUAAACUGCUUUUAUACGGGAAUAACGCGCCUUACGUGUAGGGCUUUGCAUGUACCGUAUGAAUAAGGACCGGCUAAUUCGGUGCCAGCAGCCGCGGUAAUACGGAAGGUCCGGGCGUUAUCCGGAUUUAUAGGGUUUAAAGGGAGCGUAGGCCGCAUGUCAAGCGUGCGGUGAAAUGUCCGGGCUCAACCCGGGCCUUGCAGCGCGAACUGGCGUGCUUGAGUCCGCGGAAAGCAGGCGGAAUUCGUGGUGUAGCGGUGAAAUGCUUAGAUAUGACGAAGAACCCCGAUUGCGAAGGCAGCUUGCUGCAGCGGAACUGACGCUGAUGCUCGAAAGCGCGGGUAUCGAACAGGAUUAGAUACCCGUGUAGUC